UGAGUAACGCGUGGGUAACCUGCCUCAUACAGGGGGAUAACAGUUAGAAAUGACUGCUAAUACCGCAUAAGCGCACAGUGCUGCAUGGCACAGUGUGAAAAACUCCGGUGGUAUAAGAUGGACCCGCGUUGGAUUAGCUUGUUGGCAGGGUAACGGCCUACCAAGGCGACGAUCCAUAGCCGGCCUGAGAGGGUGAACGGCCACAUUGGGACUGAGACACGGCCCAGACUCCUACGGGAGGCAGCAUG
RNAcentral lists this ribosomal RNA (248 nucleotides) under uncultured bacterium. Its description in RNAcentral is "partial 16S ribosomal RNA". It matches the Rfam family "Bacterial small subunit ribosomal RNA", at positions 107 to 353 of the family's 1533-position model. The record is from RNAcentral.